AACGAACGCUGGCGGCAUGCCUAACACAUGCAAGUCGGACGAACCCUCCGGGGUUUGUGGCGCACGGGUGCGUAACGCGUGGGAAUCUGCCCUUGGCUUCGGAAUAACAGUUAGAAAUGACUGCUAAUACCGGAUGAUGUCGCAAGACCAAAGAUUUAUCGGCCAGGGAUGAGCCCGCGUAGGAUUAGGUAGUUGGUGGGGUAAAGGCCUACCAAGCCGACGAUCCUUAGCUGGUCUGAGAGGAUGAUCAGCCACACUGGGACUGAGACACGGCCCAGACUCCUACGGGAGUCAGCAGUGGGGAAUAUUGGACAAUGGGGGCAACCCUGAUCCAGCAAUGCCGCGUGAGUGAUGAAGGCCUUAGGGUUGUAAAGCUCUUUUACCCGGGAUGAUAAUGACAGUACCGGGAGAAUAAGCUCCGGCUAACUCCGUGCCAGCCGCCGCAGUAA
Molecule: ribosomal RNA, 449 nt
Filed under: uncultured bacterium
Lineage: Bacteria
Description: partial 16S ribosomal RNA
Rfam family: Bacterial small subunit ribosomal RNA
Source: RNAcentral